UACGUAGGGUGCGAGCGUUGUCCGGAAUUAUUGGGCGUAAAGAGCUCGUAGGCGGUUUGUCGCGUCGGCCGUGAAAUCUCCACGCUUAACGUGGAGCGUGCGGUCGAUACGGGCAGACUUGAGUUCGGUAGGGGAGACUGGAAUUCCUGGUGUAGCGGUGAAAUGCGCAGAUAUCAGGAGGAACACCGGUGGCGAAGGCGGGUCUCUGGACCAUUACUGACGCUGAGGCACGAAAGCUAGGGGAGCAAACAGG
This 253-nucleotide ribosomal RNA is filed under the name uncultured bacterium. RNAcentral describes it as "partial 16S ribosomal RNA". It matches the Rfam family "Bacterial small subunit ribosomal RNA", at positions 524 to 776 of the family's 1533-position model. The record is from RNAcentral.